GGACGGGUACUUGGUGAGGGCGAAGGCGGCGGCCUCGUCCCACGGCGCCUCGCUGAAGUCGAGCUGCUGCAUCUCCGGCACGGUCGCCGGCGUCUCGGCCGUGGUGGCGGCGGAGGACGGCGACAGGGAGGGCGACGAGUCGGCGGACUCCAGGCAGGACGACGCGUCGUCGGAGGACGGCGACGAGCAGUUGCUGGUGGGCGCGGAGGAUGUUGCGGCGGCGGAGGCGGAGACAGAGGACUUCUUGGCGUUCUUGGCGGCGGCGAUGUUCUGGCAGAGCGUCUGGAGCUUGGCGUCGACGGAGGCGUGGAGCGGGCCGCGGGAGGCGGCGUUGUCG
This 337-nucleotide unclassified non-coding RNA is filed under the name Hevea brasiliensis (rubber tree). The record is from RNAcentral. Lineage: Eukaryota; Viridiplantae; Streptophyta; Magnoliopsida; Malpighiales; Euphorbiaceae.